GGUGAACGCUGGCGGCGUGCCUAAUACAUGCAAGUCGAGCGAACGGACGAGAAGCUUGCUUCUCUGAUGUUAGCGGCGGACGGGUGAGUAACACGUGGAUAACCUACCUAUAAGACUGGGAUAACUUCGGGAAACCGGAGCUAAUACCGGAUGAUAUUUUGAACCGCAUGGUUCAAAAGUGAAAGACGGUCUUGCUGUCACUUAUAGAUGGAUCCGCGCUGCAUUAGCUAGUUGGUAAGGUAACGGCUUACCAAGGCAACGAUGCAUAGCCGACCUGAGAGGGUGAUCGGCCACACUGGAACUGAGACACGGUCCAGACUCCUACGGGAGGCAGCAGUAGGGAAUCUUCCGCAAUGGGCGAAAGCCUGACGGAGCAACGCCGCGUGAGUGACGAAGGUCUUCGGAUCGUAAAACUCUGUUAUUAGGGAAGAACAUAUGUGUAAGUAACUGUGCACAUCUUGACGGUACCUAAUCAGAAAGCCACGGCUAACUACGUG
This 497-nucleotide ribosomal RNA is filed under the name uncultured bacterium. RNAcentral's name for it is "partial 16S ribosomal RNA". It matches the Rfam family "Bacterial small subunit ribosomal RNA", at positions 28 to 507 of the family's 1533-position model. The record is from RNAcentral.